GCGGGAAUAGCUCAGUUGGUAGAGCACGACCUUGCCAAGGUCGGGGUCGCGAGUUCGAGUAUCGUUUCCCGCUCCA
RNAcentral lists this transfer RNA (76 nucleotides) under Pseudomonas aeruginosa. RNAcentral's name for it is "tRNA-Gly". It matches the Rfam family "tRNA". From Rfam's summary of the family: Transfer RNA (tRNA) molecules are approximately 80 nucleotides in length. Their secondary structure includes four short double-helical elements and three loops (D, anti-codon, and T loops). Further hydrogen bonds mediate the characteristic L-shaped molecular structure. tRNAs have two regions of fundamental functional importance: the anti-codon, which is responsible for specific mRNA codon recognition, and the 3' end, to which the tRNAs corresponding amino acid is attached (by aminoacyl-tRNA synthetases). tRNAs cope with the degeneracy of the genetic code in two manners: having more than one tRNA (with a specific anti-codon) for a particular amino acid; and 'wobble' base-pairing, i.e. permitting non-standard base-pairing at the 3rd anti-codon position. The record is from RNAcentral. RNAcentral also lists the same sequence under 20 other names. Lineage: Bacteria; Pseudomonadati; Pseudomonadota; Gammaproteobacteria; Pseudomonadales; Pseudomonadaceae.